This 772-nucleotide ribosomal RNA is filed under the name uncultured Bacteroidota bacterium. RNAcentral describes it as "bacterial SSU rRNA". It matches the Rfam family "Bacterial small subunit ribosomal RNA", at positions 716 to 1500 of the family's 1533-position model. Lineage: Bacteria; Pseudomonadati; Bacteroidota. The record is from RNAcentral.
CGGAAGGCAGGUUCCAUGAUUUUAACUGACGCUGAGGGACGAAAAGCGUGGGUAGCGAACAGGAUUAGAUACCCUGGUAGUCCACGCCGUAAACGAUGCUAACUCGUUUUUGGGGCGCAAGCUUCAGAGACCAAGCGAAAGUGAUAAGUUAGCCACCUGGGGAGUACGUUCGCAAGAAUGAAACUCAAAGGAAUUGACGGGGGCCCGCACAAGCGGUGGAUUAUGUGGUUUAAUUCGAUGAUACGCGAGGAACCUUACCAAGACUUAAAUGGGAAAUGACCGGUUUAGAAAUAGACCUUUCGCAAGACAUUUUUCAAGGUGCUGCAUGGUUGUCGUCAGCUCGUGCCGUGAGGUGUUAGGUUAAGUCCUGCAACGAGCGCAACCCCUGUCACUAGUUGCUAACAUUAAGUUGAGGACUCUAGUGAGACUGCCUACGCAAGUAGAGAGGAAGGUGGGGAUGACGUCAAAUCAUCACGGCCCUUACGUCUUGGGCCACACACGUAAUACAAUGGCCGGUACAGAGGGCAGCUACCACGCGAGUGGAUGCGAAUCUCGAAAGCCGGUCUCAGUUCGGAUUGGAGUCUGCAACUCGACUCUAUGAAGCUGGAAUCGCUAGUAAUCGCGCAUCAGCCAUGGCGCGGUGAAUACGUUCCCGGGCCUUGUACACACCGCCCGUCAAGCCAUGGAAGUCUGGGGUACCUGAAGUCGGUGACCGUAAAAGGAGCUGCCUAGGGUAAAACAGGUAACUAGGGCUAAGUCGUAACAAGGUAGC